GUGUGACAUAUAGAAAACUAUAUUACCCUCAAUAUUUAAGAUUUGAUAUAAUUACAUUUAUUAUACCUAAUUACCAAUUCUACCAUAAGGUGUUUUAAGUGUAUAUUAAUUGUACCUUAUAUCACUCCUAGAUUUAUGGUACUGUAUAUUCCUCCAAAUCCCCAUCCCCCCACAUUUCUCUCUCCCAACCCCACACCAUCACCCACGU
RNAcentral lists this long non-coding RNA (208 nucleotides) under Nicotiana benthamiana. Its description in RNAcentral is "long non-coding RNA (NBEN_LNC035213)". Lineage: Eukaryota; Viridiplantae; Streptophyta; Magnoliopsida; Solanales; Solanaceae. The record is from RNAcentral.